RNAcentral lists this ribosomal RNA (292 nucleotides) under uncultured bacterium. Its description in RNAcentral is "partial 16S ribosomal RNA". It matches the Rfam family "Bacterial small subunit ribosomal RNA", at positions 505 to 796 of the family's 1533-position model. The record is from RNAcentral.
GUGCCAGCAGCCGCGGUAAUACGGAGGGUGCAAGCGUUGUCCGGAAUCACUGGGCGUAAAGGGUGCGCAGGCGGGGCAGCAAGUCGGAGGUGAAAGCCCAUGGCUCAACCAUGGAAGUGCCUUCGAAACUGUUGCUCUUGAGGCCCGGAGAGGCUGGCGGAAUUCGUGGUGUAGGGGUGAAAUGCGUAGAUAUCACGAGGAACACCAGAGGCGAAAGCGGACAGCUGGACGGGUACUGACGCUCAGGCACGAAAGCGUGGGUAGCAAACAGGAUUAGAAACCCGAGUAGUCC